RNAcentral lists this long non-coding RNA (14416 nucleotides) under Nicotiana tabacum (common tobacco). RNAcentral's name for it is "long non-coding RNA (NTAB_LNC016563)". Lineage: Eukaryota; Viridiplantae; Streptophyta; Magnoliopsida; Solanales; Solanaceae. The record is from RNAcentral.
UUAAUUAUUACCUAAGCGUUCUAAUAACAUCCAGUACGUACCCUAUGCGCGCACUACCCGUCCCUUACCUUUGGACUUGGAGGUGUUUAGGGCCUCUAUUUAAGGUGGUUCUAGACUCACCUAUGUUGUUUAAAAGGGGAAAACUAAGCGACGAACAAAAGCUAAGUAGGACUGUCACACAAGAAGCAAUUAAGUGGGCUCAUGUUAAUCUCCACAAAUAGACAAACAAAUGCACACUGUUCAAACAAGCAAUUUUGAAUGACUUAGGAUCCUAUAGGUAGGAUGUCUAAAUGAGCACAAAACAGAAUAUACAGCAGUCUUAAAGCGAGCAGACGAGUACCUAUCAGUUUGCCUACUGAUUUGGUUAAUACUCUGAAUCUGGGCAUAUUUCUAACAAGCAAUCACAAUUUUAGACCUAGAAUUUUAAUUAACCUACAGGCUUGCCUAAGUGAUAAUCGAGCAGAACCUUAUAGACAUGGUAUCUAAGUCAUAAACCAAUUACUGAUUUUAACAGGCAGAUUUUUAUCUUUAAAUCCUACAGGCAUGCUUUCUAAGUGCUAAAAUUGAUUAUAGCAUUAUUUCUUAUAGACAUGAUACCUAAACACAGAAAGUGGUUUUUUACACUUACUUCCUAUAGGCAUGAUGUAUAAGUGUCAAGACUCGAUUUUAUAUGUAUUUCCUAUACGCAUGAUAUCUAAGUGUUGAAACUGUUUUUAUGCUUAUUUCCUAUAAGAAUGAUAUAAAAGUGCAAAACUGAUAUUUCUUAUAGGCAUGAUAACUAUAUGCAGAAUUGAUUAUCUUAUUUCCUAUAGGCAUGGUAUCUAGGUGACUUUAGUUCCUAUAGGCAGGAUAUCUAUUACUCAUGCGUAGGCAGAAUUCUUUAAGCACAUUGCCAGGAAAAUGGUUAUUCAAACAGACAAGAUCCUAUAGACAUGGUUACUAAUGCACAUUGAAUUGAGAAUCUGUGCAGAUCAUAUAAACAGGAUUUUUAAUGUGAAGAAUUAAACGUAAAGUCGUAUAGCAUGGUUUCUAACAUGCAGAUGUGCAAUACAGAGUCAAACGAUCAUAAAAUCCUAUAGGCAGGAUCUCUAAACAUAAUACAGUAUCCACAUAGUGCAAUCAGCAUAGUCAAGUCCUACAGGCAGGAUCUCUACCCAAUUUCAAUAGAAAUGUAAGAAUAGAGCCCUCCCCCCUAGCUUUUACUAAUAAUCCCAAUAUCUGUUUUUACAAAGAUUAUUAUUAUAGACCAAUACGAAUGAACUACACAAAGCUAUUCAUUACAUUAUAAGGAGCCUUGGCGCCCAACAUCAAUCCUGGAAACCAGGCCUUCAAGCAAGCAAGUCUGAUAUACAUAGGUGGCAGGAUCUAUAACACCUUAAGCCAUGCUUCCAGUGUGCCAAAGUUCCCCAAGAGCCUCAAGGACCCCGGGCAAUGCUCACACUGGAUCCAUACAUUUAGCACAGGAUUCAUAAGAAAUUGGAAGCCAGCUCCAAUGUGUUAGAGUUCAAAGGAGUCUCAGGGACCCUAGGCAGUGCUCACAUUGGAGGUGGUAGGAACCUAGGUAGCUAAGUGUGGAAAAUUGAAAGGGUAGUACAUGAAAGGGGUAGGGGAUAGUUUUUAGAAAAUAGUUUUUCUUCAGGGGCAAACAGAAAUAGAAUUCUACCUAGACAAGCAGAACCCAGACAGAUUGGUAUGAAUACUAUGUCAACUAAAGCAAUCACAAAAGAGCAGGGGCACUUGAGUUACAAAUAGAACUGACCAUACAUAUUUGCAGUAUCAUAGAGGCAUACAAUUGAAUCAACAAGGUUUCAAAUGUCUGAGGUUGAUAUGACUUAUUAAUUAUCACUAAGUGGAUACAUGUAGGCAUAUAUUGAACAGAAGUAUACUAAAGUUAAGAUAACCAAACAAACGAACAUAUAGAACAGGAUAGUAGGAAAUUAAAGCAUACUAGUCUAGAAAGAAGUACACAGAAAUCAUGGAUCAAACGGAAACAUGUUAAGGUAAGCUAUCUACACAGAAACAGAAACAUGUUAACAAACAUGUAACAUAAACAUGUUGAUGUCUAUUGUGAACUGACUACAUAGCAUAUAGAAUAGAGCAUGGUAAUAGAAAUUAAGGCAUACUAGUUAAGGAGAUAGUAAACAAGAAGGUGAAGACGAAUGAAAUCCAAGGAUCUAGCUAGGGGUGUUCAUCGUUCGGUUUGGAUCGGUUUUUUCCUAAAAAGAAACCAAACCAAGUAAGUCGGUUUUUCAAAUAUUAGAACCAAACCAAACCAAUUAAAUCGGUUUUUUCUCGAUUCGGUUUAUGUCGGAUUUUGUCGGUUUUUCGGUUAUUUAUCAGUUUUUUCUUAAAUAUAAGACAUACACUACCAAACACAUAUUUCGACGGCCACAUUUUCAACGUAACACUAUCAAAUCAAUUGCCUUUUGAGAAAUCUAUUAUUUACUAAAAUAUAUUGAUGAUAAGUGAAUCAAAUAGUGAUUAAUAAUUUAAGGACUCAAUUAAAAAUAUAUACUUUUUAACAUGAAAUGGAUUCUUACACUUAACAAAAAGAAAACUACCAAUCAAACUAGAAUAUAAAAGUAAAGAACUGUACGAAAAGUACAAACGAUUAACAUUCACCAUAAAAAUUUUAAAACUUUGUACAAAAAUAUACAUAUAUGUAGGUGUAAUAAUAAAUUUGAAAUAGCUAAUCCUAUAGUCGGUUUGGUUCGGUUAUUUCGGUUAUUUUUUUAUUAAAACCAAAACUAAAUCAAAUUUGAUCAGUUUUUAAAAUUCAAAACCAAAACCAAACCAAACCAAACCAAAAAAGUAUCGAUUUUUUUGGUCGGUUUGAUUUGGUUUUCGGUUUGGUUCGAUUUUUCGGGUUUUUAUGAACACCCCUAGAUCUAGCCUUGGCUUUUCGUUGGCUAGACAGUGCAAUAAAUCAAAGAAAUGUAAGUGUGUAAAUGUGUAUCAGUGUGUGCUUGUAAGUAUAGAUGUCUGAGUCUGAGCGUGUUUAAGAAAUCAGAAUGAUGAGGUUUAUAUAGCAUUUGGCAGAGCAGAACAAAUAAGGCAAAGAAAAUUAAGAGCUCACAAAUAAGGUAUGCAAACCAUUCAACUAGUUGAUUAGGGCUAAACCCAAUCAAUUAAUAUGACAGAAUCCGGGAAAAUAUCACUUAGAUUAGGGAGAAUCAAUUAACGGGAAAGAUUGAAGUUUAAUAAGGUAAGAAAGAAGUCAGGGGUCAUUUAUAGGUUGGUCAGAACAAAUCAAAACCCAGAAAUCAGGCCAAUAGCAUAUUUAAGGAAGGCAGUACCAAUUAUAAGUCACAUAUAAGAGAAGAAUAAAUAAAAAUCUCAGAAAGAUACAAAUUUAAAAGAAAAUAUAAUUUCAAACCCUAAUUAGUCAAAUAAAUCAAUUAACAAAUUUAUUUAACCGCGCCAAAGUGAACGGGCAAGAACAGUGAGAUAAAUAAUCGAAUAACGAAAAAUUUUGAGCAUAUUGAAACACAAAGAUGAAACAUCAAGCAAGGAAAUUAGUCGAGCAGUAAAGAAGAAAGGUCACGGUUGAACCUUUAAAUGCUUAAAAAUAUUUGCAGAAACUUAAAAGAUGAAACCCUAGUUCUUAGGGAAAAGUGAAAUCAAUAGAUAAUAGUGGUAAGACAAAAGAACCUUAAAGGAAAACGGUUAAAUAAUCCCCAAACACUUCAGAUCUAAAGAGAUCUGAACCUUUUCGACCAAAAAUAGUUAGGUUUGUACAAAAAUAAACGAAGGUGUAAAAAUCGAGUUUUAGACCGGAGAUUUGAAGCCACAAAGACACAAAAAAAUGAUAAUACUCACAAACAAAUGGUGAAUACUAAUGGAUUCAUCAGAAGAUUGAGAGAUUUGAACCAAAUCUAUUCGAAUCCCCUUGAGAUUCCAUCAAAUAACAAAGAGAUCAAACAAUUAAUAGAUAUAAGAGGCCGGAUAGAGACUAAGAUCGAAGAGGAACCCUAUGGAUUGAAGGGAGUUCAGGUGACGGUGGACUAGGGUUAGGGAGAGGUUGAGAGCGAAGAGAGGAGGUAGGGAUUUAGGGGCGGCGGUGUUUGAGAAAUAGGUAGGGUUUGGGGGGUCGUUUGGUUAAUAAAAAAGGAAAUGAAUCAUGGACCGCUGGGUUGGGGCGGGUUAUUUGGAGAUUGGGUUAUAGGUUAUAUUUAAGUGGGCUAGGGUAGUUUUGGGCUAGGUCUAGAAAAAAAGGCUAUGUUUUAAAUAUCCAUUUAAUUUAGUAAAAUAAUUUAUAAAUGAUAAAAUGUAAUUUGUAUGCAUGCAAAUGAUUUAAAAUAAUUACUUAACAUUAUAAAUAAUGAAUUUAGAUGAUUGAAUUAUCAUAAAAUAAUAUGAGGGAUAAUUAUUGGACAUUUGUAUAGUAAAAUGCAGAAAUAAAUUGGUUGAAAGCCUUUAAAAUUAUAGAAAAAAUUAUAAAGAUACUUGUGCAUGUUUGUAAAUGCAUGUGCACUAUUUUUGAAAAUAUACAUGCAUGUUAAAAAUAUAUGAGGGAAAAAUUGGGUAUCAACAGAGUUCCUUAAUUUGCUUCUUGUGACAUCUUUCCUUCAUGACUGCAGCAAAGUACUUUAAAUUUGAAUCUCCUAACUGUAUCCAUUGGGCUCUAGAUUUCUGCCUUAGUAUACUUCCCUCAAUCAGGCUUCAUUUCUCUAAAUUCAUUAGAACUUCUUUUUCCUUAAUCACAAGACUAUCAUCAUAGUUUGCUCUCAUUGCUGCCGGAAUUCUUUGAAGGUCAUCUCUUGCCCUGUCAAUCUUCUCUGUAGUUGCCUGAAAUUCUUUUUGAUUCAGUUGUCUAAAGGAUGAUCUCAUUGCCUUCACCUUAUUCCAGACAUUCUGCAUAAGGUCUCUAUCCAAUUACUUCUUCCAAUGUGCCUCCACUAUCUCCACAAAUUGUGCAUGCUCUCCCCAUAUACUGAAAAACCUUAAAGGAGCUCUGAUUUUUUUAAUUCACAUUGUGUAAAGUCAACAGCAUUAGGGCAUGGUCAGAUAUGUUAGGUAGACCAUAUUCUAAAACAAUAUGACCCCAGUUCAUCAUCCAGUCAUGGUUACCAAAGGCCCUGUCUAUUUUGGUACUUACUCUCUUUACUCCUUGUUGUUUAUUUGACCAUAUGUAAUAAUCACCUUUCCAUUGUAGUUCACUUAGUAAUGUGGAAUUAAUAUAGUCUGCAAAAUCUUUAACUUCAUUGAAGGUAACAGGAUGGCAGCUUAUUCUAUCUGUAGUUAUUAGGAUUGCAUUAAACUCUCCACAGACUAACCAUGGAUAGUCAGUACUACUAGAUAUAUCUUGCAAACUGGUCCAUAAGCUUCUCCUUUCUUCCACAAUAUUAAAUCCAUAAACAGUAGUCAAAACACAUUGUAGAUUAUUAGAAGUAUCUCUAACUUCACAAUGUAUUAACUGAGCUUCCACCUACUGAACAGCUAUAGUAUAUUUACCUUGAUUUCACAUCAACCAGAUUCUUCAAUUAACAGUAGCAGAGUAAUUAUUAAUAAUACCCCAAUUUGAAGCAAUAUUAUUAGCUAUUUUCAAACAUCUAUAUUGCUUAACCCUGGUUUCCAGCAGGCCCAGUAUUUUGAUAUUUUUUAUCCUUAUAUACUUCUUUAGAUCUUUUUGUUUAUACACUUUAUUCACACCCCUAAUAUUCCAUAUGAGCCAAGUCAUUGAGCAAUGAUAAGACCCCCCAGAUCAGGAGGUUCUACUUGUCUUGUUCUCUGUACCUCUCUUUGUUUUAUCCCAACAUUCCCAUUCUUUGCGUUACUCAACAUAACAGCACCCAACUGUGGAAAGUUGAUCAAAUUCAGCUCUGGGCUAGGUACCUGCUCCUUGUCUUUAGAAGCAUUCUUUAUCACUCCUUCUGGUGUUGUUACUUUGCUGGGUGAUCCAGUGUCCUAUUGUUGCAGCUUGUUCACAUCAUCAUUGACUUUAGGUUGAGUGACUCCAACAUAGACUAGUUGUUGUGUAUCUACCAUCUGGCUCGUAGAUGGUAUAUCUUUAGGCUUCCAUUCCUGAACCACCUUCUUCUGCUCACCUCUUCUUCUAUUUUGCAUUGGCCUUUCUUGUUGCUCAGGUAUCUUAGUGCAUAUGUGCCCAAUAGUUAGACAUUGAGGGCAGAAUUGAGGCUUCCAUUCAAAUACCACCUCCUGCUAAAUUGUUUUUCCAUUUGGCUCCAUAAUCACUAUUGUUUCAGGUAAUGGCUUAGAUACAUUAACUUCAAACAACAUUCUAGUAUAGGAAAUCCCUGUUUGUUUAGUCGUACACUCAUUUGCAAAUAAACGCUUCCCCAAUGCAUUAGCUAUUCUGCCCAAGGAUCCACAUCCCCAACAACUCAUAGGUAAUUUGGGAAAUUUCACCCAUAAUGGGAUCUCUGUCAUAAACUCUUGACUGAAUUCAAAUGCAGAGGUCCAUGGUUUUAAGAUAAUUGGUUGAUUUCUAAUAGAGUAAGGCCCAGAAAAUAGAAUUUCAUUCAUAUCAUUUGUAUCAUGAAAUCAAGCCACAUAAUACGCUUCCUCAUGCAAAACUAGAUUUGGCAUAGUUAUAGAAUUCCACAUUUGAGAAAUGUACCUAUGCGUGAGUGAAUAUCAUGGUGUUUCCCCCAUCACAUAGACAAUGAGGGCAUUUUUCCACUUCUCCGCUUCUUUUUCCACUUCGCUCUUUUUAAGAUGGACUAUAGUUUCCCCAUUAACAAUUUGAGGCAGAAAGUAGCUUAGGGUCAUACCGUUCUCUGCAGCUCUGUUUCUAGCAAACAAGGAGUUCCACUUCGGCUUCACAACCUCAUCCUUCACUUCAUUAGCUUCCUUAUCUGCCUCCUGAUUUUCAUUGUUUGGUCCCCAUCCACUUGAGCUGGAAUAGUUACAUUUUGGAUUGGAUCUCGACUUGUUUCAACUGAUUUUCAUUCUCUAUCAGUGAUCUCUCUAGUAAUGGAGUUUUGUUUGCAUCCACCAUUACCACUAUAGGUCUCUUUUCUACCGCUGAACUCAAUGAAGGUUCCAGAUCUGGGUACUGUUCCAUUGAAACUUUAGCAGCUGGUUGCUUUGAUGUUGAAGUAGUCAUCUUAGAUUGAACAUGCACAGCACUUCCAAAGGCUAUAUGUAUCUCUUUCUUAGGUCGUCCCCUUCCUCGACCUCGUCCCCUUCCCAUGGACCUCCAGAGCGCACGUUAGACUAACCUGCGCUUAGAGAGAAGCUGGAGCGAAGAGAGAGAAAGUUGGAUGGUUGUUACAUUAUUCUCCGUUCACUUUUACUUGGCAUGUUUUGACUUUUUACGCCCCUUUAUUUUUUCUGUUUUGCCCUUAGAAUUAAUUUCUCAUUCCAAAUCCAUUAAAACUAUACACCAAUUAAUAUGGGUAUCAUGGCAAAUUAUGCACUUUGUUUAUUAUUUCUUAAAGGUUGUACAAAGUCAAUAGUGAACAAGUAAAAGUGAACUAAUGGAGUAUAUUUAUGAUGUCCAAGUAUAAUAUAUAUAAUUCAAUUACCUAAACUCCUCAUUCCCGUACUUCCCAUUUAAUGAUCUAAGACUUUUAGCUUUGAUGUCAUCCUCCUCGUUCCCAUAGCUUAAUUGUUACUAUGUAGUAUUUACUUUGUUUGCAAAAUGCAAAGAAAAGAAGAAGCAAUCAUUUUUUUAAAAAAAAAAUCAUAUGUACAUCAAAAUUUCAAUAUAUUUUUCUACAGAGAGUAAUAAAACAGCAUGAUAUGGCGGCUGAUAGGCAGACUCUAGCCAGAGUAUUAUUAUCCAUCAAUAAUUAAUUUUGGAAUGACAAGCAUUUUCUGGAUUUAUUUUUUUUGAAAAAUAUGUAUUUUUAGAAAAAUAUUGUAUUGAAUAAUAUUUUCUGGUAUUUGAUUAGAAGGUAAAAAAAAAUUUGGAAAAGAGUAUUUGCUAAAGAAUGGUAAUAUUGUUUAGGUGUUGGUUGGAGUGUAGUAUUACGAAGUCAAGAGUUGAGAUAAUUAUAAAAAAGAUAAUUUCUACCCAAAAGUGGGAGAUUUUUUUGACAAUUAAACAUAAAAAAGACUACUUGUUUAAAAACAUUUUACGAAAAAAAUUCCGCCAUACUAAUUAAACACACGUUCCAUAAAUAAAAAGAACUUAGAUCUGGAGUCUUAACUGCAUUACAGAUAAAUAAUUAAUUUGAACCAAAUUAUUGUCCUAUGAUUUACGUAACACCAAAUGAAAAUAGUGAAGAAGAGAAGGCUAUUUGUAUAAAAAUUUCAAAAAAUUCUGAGUGUAGGAGUAUCAUUUUCUUUCUCUCACUUCUUUUCUAAUUUGUCCUGUUGUGGGGUGGCUAGGAGAGGAAUAGUUAGCAUAGAGGGUAGGGUGGGGUAACCCCAGGAGCACAUCUCUUUAUUCAUAUUUCCCUUUAAUCUGUUGAAGAGUUUGCAGAGAAAAGUGAUCAGUCUGACAAGAAGGCAACUUCUCAAGCUUAGAUAGACAGUUAGUUAGACACACAUGUGAGUCUGUGUAUUUUUUAUCCAUUUUCUUUUACUACAAUCAACAAAGCUGUCUCAGUUGAUAUAUAUAUCUUUCUCUUUCUCUGCCUUCCCUUUCUUCUUCUUUUGUGUUUAUUUUAUAUCUGAAGAUCCCUGAUUAUACCCUUUAUUUUUGUCAGCUGUAAGCACAAUUUUGAUAUCCCAUUUAUCUACUUAAACAAAUCCACCAUCUUUUAUUUUAUAUAUCAAAAUCAAAAGCCAUCAUCAUCCCAUGUUUUGGGAGUUUUCAUAUAUAUAUUUGAAUUAAUAUUUAACUCUAUGCUCUUCGUCAAAAAUGUUCUCCAUCUUUAUAAUUCUUCGUGGAUUUAUUAUAAGCUUCUUCUCUCUUACUUUCUUUCAGGUACCUUCCAUCAGUACAAGUUAGCGCAGGUGUUCGAAGUCAAGAAAAACAAAAAAGGACUUUAAUUUCUUGAUUGAUUGUGAAUUUAAAAUUAUUCUUCCUGCAAUCUGCUUCUAUGUACUAUCAAGGAACCUCGGAUAAUAUUCAUCAAGCCGCUGAUGGUAAUAUUCAGACACUUUAUCUGAUGAACCCUAACUAUAUUCAUCAAGGGUACAGUAAUGACACACAACAACAACAACACCAACACCAACACCAUCAGCAACAAAUUAUACGCCACGCGCCGCUGCAGCAGGCACAGCAGCACUUUGUCGGCGUCCCUCUUCCGGCAGUUAGUUUGCACGAUCAGAAUCAUGCCCAGCUUAUCCACCGUCUGUGGAACCAAAGUGGUGGUGGUGGUGGAAAUGGAAGUCAUCACCAAUCCCAGAUUAUACCGUCAUCCACGGUGGUUUCCGCCACCUCCUGUGGCGGCAGCACCACGGACUUGGCCUCUCAGUUGGGGUUCCAGAGGCCAAUAAUCAUGUCGCCGACACAACAACAACAACAACAACAAGGUGGUCUAUCGCUAAGCCUUUCUCCUCAACAACAACAAAUUAGUUUCAACAACAUUUCAGCUCAGAAUCAAGUUGGAUCAAAUAUUAAUAGAGGAUUAGAUGGAAUUUCCAGCAUGGUUUUAGGCUCUAAGUACCUGAAAGCUGCACAAGAGCUUCUAGAUGAAGUUGUUAAUGUUGGAAAAUGUAUCAAAGGAAGUGAAUUGGAGAAGGGGGAAUUAAUGAAUAAAGAAUCAAUACUGCCUUUGGCUAGUGAUGUGAACACUAGUAAUAGUGGAGGUGAAAGUAGCAGCAAGCAGAAAAAUGGAGUUGCUGAACUUACAACUGCUCAAAGACAAGAAUUUCAAAUGAAGAAAGCCAAGCUUGUUACCAUGCUUGAAGAGGUACUUACUCCAAUUCAUAUAUUCACAAUUUUAUCUUCUACUACUUCUUAUUUUUCAUUAUCCUGCUGAAUUCUAAUCUCAUAAAAUUGUCAAACUUUAGCUUCCUUAGCUUGACGUGGAGUUUUGUUUAAACAAAUCAAUCAAAUGAUCCAAAACUCUAAAAACAAUUUAUAUCUACUCUACUAUAAUUUACCAUUUUCUCAAAGUUUUGUGCAGGAGAAAUUAAAUGGGUGACACUAUGGAUUCAUAUUUGAUACUGUAAUUGGUAGACGAAAACGUACCAUGGCUUUAAAAUUUAGACACCAAUCACACGUUUCUUCUCUCUUGAUAUCUAAGCUGACAAUGUGUGGCUCUAAAUUUUCUUCUGCGGGUCCAACUAAAGCUACAGUUAGUAGUACAGUAUAGGAACCUAAAAACUGUCUUCCCCUAGGCGAAAAGCAAUAACUCAUAUUCACUAAUUAUUUCUUACUUGGAGUCUUUCAACGGAGAGCUCUUCAACUUUUUUUUUUUUUUUGUGAGGGAACGACAAAGACUGAAUUUCAGUGGAUUGUGGCAAUAAGGUCACUCUGACACUUGACAUACCCUAAAGCUCUUUAAUUUCUUAUUAAAGUAGUAACUAGAAAUACGUGCUCAAUUUUUAUCGCUGUCUCAAAAGGUUUUCUCGGCCUUUACUACUAGCAAACAUCAAAUAAUUUCGUGUUAUAAAACGACAUAUUACUAUGAAAAGUAAUGACUUUUUUUUGGGUUGGUUUAGGUGGAGCAAAGGUACAGACAGUACCAUCACCAAAUGCAAAUAAUUGUAUCAUCAUUCGAGCAAGUAGCAGGAAUUGGAUCUGCAAAAUCAUACACACAACUGGCUUUGCAUGCAAUUUCGAAGCAGUUCCGAUGCUUAAAAGAUGCUAUUGUUGGACAAAUAAAGGCCACGAGCAAGAGUUUGGGUGAAGAAGAUCAAAGCUUAGGAGAGAAAAUUGAAGGGUCACGACUUAAAUUUGUAGACCAUCAUCUUAGGCAACAACGUGCACUUCAACAGCUAGGAAUGAUGCAACCAAAUGCUUGGAGACCCCAAAGAGGUUUACCUGAAAGAGCUGUCUCUGUCCUUCGUGCUUGGCUUUUCGAGCAUUUUCUUCAUCCGUAAGUACUAUAUUCACAUCUAUGCACUAACGAUGUGAAAAAUAUAUACUCUCAAAUAGAAAAUUGCUUCUUACCAGGUUUUUACUAAUAAUUCUAAAGCCAAAGGCGGAUUAAUUAGGAUGUCUGAUCAUGCAUUCUUCAGUCUAAUUGAAUAUCUUACUCUUAGGUCGAACUAUGUAUGCAUAUAAAUAUAAAUUAAAAUGUCUACGCACAAAAAUCACACUUAUUCUAAAGUGUAUCAGGUUCCGUCUUUGACUAGUUGUAAACAUAAAUCUUCUUAUAAAAGAAAUUAUCUUUCUCCAAUAUAAAAGUUUUUUUUAGUUACCAAGUUCUUGUCACUAAUUAAUAUACUUGUUGUAUUUUUUGUUUUUAACAACAAAAAUUGUUUUUUUCCCCGGGUUUUUGUAUUGCAGUUAUCCCAAGGAUUCAGACAAAAUCAUGCUUGCGAAGCAAACCGGGCUAACAAGGAGCCAGGUUCUUGGACAAACAUUCUACUUUUAUUAAUUCUUGAUUAAUUAGUUCUUUUUCUUAUUUAUAAAAAACCCUGAUAAAUGAAUUGCAGGUCUCCAACUGGUUCAUAAAUGCUCGAGUUCGACUAUGGAAGCCAAUGGUGGAAGAAAUGUACUUGGAAGAAAUGAAGAAUAAUCAAGAACAAAAUAGCUCAUCAGAAGAAAACAAAAACAAAAAUGAAUCCAACAAAGAGAAAAUGGUCUCAAAAUCAAGUGCUCCACAAGAAAGUGGUACUCCAACAGAAAUUGCAACCUCAACUAUUUCAACUCCUCCUACUGCAUGUGGCUCAUCAUUUCAAGCAGCACAAGCUCACAACUUUUCCUUUCUUGGUUCAUUAAACAUGGAAAAUAAUACUACUACUAAAAAGCCAAGAAAUCAUGACAUGCAUAAUAAUUCUCCAAGUAAUAUUCUUUCAUCGGUAGACAUGGCCGAAACCAAAGCUAGAGAUCAUCAAUCAAAAAAAGGGUUCAAUCCUUUAAUGGAUGCAGCAGCAGUAUAUACAAUGGGAGAAUUUGGAAGGUUUAAUCCGCAUGAACAAAUGGCAGCAACAAAUUUUCAUGGAAAUAAUGGUGUCUCUCUUACUUUAGGGCUUCCUCCUAAUUCUGAAAACCUGAGCCAACAGAGUUACCAAAAUACUAUUGAGUUCAAUAGAAUGAGCUAUGAGAACAUUGAUUUUCAGAAUAAGCGGUUCCCUUCUCAAAUAUUACCAGAUUUUGUUGCAGGUAAUCUUGGAACAUGAAAAGCACACAAUUUCUUGUAUAUAGGAAAUAUUCUUUUUUUUUAUAUAGAAAAAAAAAAGAGAUUUGUGCUUUAGUGUGUAGAUAGAGUCUGCUUAAUUAGUAUAGGUCAUACUUCCAAUUGUCAGAGAAAAGAUAUACAAAAUAGCUUGCUUGGAGUAAUAUUUAAGGUUAAUGUGGAAAAUAGUAUAUAGUUUGUUGUAAAGUUGAGAUAUUAUAUUGUUCCUCUCAAUUUGCAUAUAAUUUGAUACUAUAUAUGUUUUGCACGUACCAGCCUCUAACCUCUAUUUCUAUUAUUUGUAAUUGCAGUUUUAUUUUAUUUUUACGUUUAAGUUUGGUGCAAGUUUAUAGUGUCACGCUUUCACUAUUAGCUUACCAGUUGUACACCUUGUCACACCUCCUUUUUCUACCCGGAAAGGGUAUAGGGGAGUUUUUCCAAUUAAAGUGACAAUAAUUGAAACGGGAUAGUUUAUUCAAAUUCAGAGCCGCCAUUUGAGAUAAUUUAUGGUGUCCCAAGUCACCAGCUUAAAAUCCCGAAUCGAGGAAGAUUGACUCUGUUUUACAGUCCGCGAAAUACAGAAAUCCGGGUAAGGAAUUUUGUUAACCCGGGAGAUGGUGUUAGGCAUUCCCGAAUUCCAUGGUUUUAGCACGGUUGCUCAACUAUUAAUAUUGGCCUAAUUAUCCGAUUUAAUACAUCUUUGAAACCUAUGUGCAUUUUAUUCCUUUUAACUGCUUUUAACAUUAGAAUAAAUCACGAUUGUCAUACACUUGUUUAUUUUGUACACAUUAGGAAUCGUGUCACAGGAACCGUACCCACGAUCUACAAUAUGUUUAAUUUAUUAACAAAUUAGAAAUAGUGGCCGGGUCACGUAAGAUGUACCCCGGAUUUGAAAAUUAUUUAUAUUUAUCACAAAUACGUCACGAAAACCGUACCUGUAGCUAUGAUGAUUUUUAUUAUAGCGCGCUUAAAGCAAACUACGAAUACUCAUAAUUUAUUCAACUUUUAAACCCAAACCCCCACGGUCCAAUUCGAUAUCCAAAACAGCGAGAAUAUAAAAUUUCUUCACGUUUUUAAAUCCAACCCCUACUGUUAGAAACACUUUCAAUUAAUGCUCCAAGUUAAUUUCUUACCUAACCAUAUUCAAAGCUAGAUAUUAAACAUCAAUGGAACUGAUGACAAGAACGAAAAUAGAACUCAUCCUUGAUUAAGAGGAAAGAACAUUGAGGUCAAAAAUCCCAACUCUGUACAUUUCCGGAACAAAGCCAAUUGACACCAAAAUGUUAAACAAAGAUAACAAAAUAUGCACAAGAGCCAGAUUACAGUGAUACGAUAGACAUCACAAUCUCAGGAGCAGAUUUAACAAAAGACUUAAUACACAAGCCAAAUUUCAGUGAUUCAAUAGAUCCUUUAUCCGGUUAAAUCAACUUAAAUCUAAACCUUGCAACUCUGAAAAGUAGCCGAAACUGAAGCAAAUUAUCCGAUUUAAAGCAGAAACUGUUAUUCAAAAUAUCGCAUAACAUCACGUAAUCGGACAGCAGCCGAAAUUGAAGCAUCGAAUCAUCACAUAAGUAACAAAAUGAAACAGAGGAAGAAGAAACCGAGUAAUGAAAUUUUCAGAGAGACAAAGGAUAAAUUAUUACACACUUCAACGUAAUAGAGCAUCCAACGACAAUUACAGCAUUUCAAAUCGAAAGUUCACACCUGAAACGCGAAUAAAAUCGAAAAAAUAAAGCAGAACAAAGACCAAAUCGCCACCGGAGCUCGAACGAAAAACCCAUCAACGAACUCGAGCUCGACCGUAAUUUUUGUGUUCAAAUGUUGUCUUGGACUGAAAAUCGCCGGAAAAUACACAAGCUACCAGAAAUAUUGGAUUCAGCCGGAUCUGAUUUGGGAUUGGAGUUUACGUGAUGUCCAUGGCUGGUUUAAGGUUUUUGGAGCUGAUUUCGACUGCAAAUCUGGGCUAUUUCUUGACUGGUUCCUUGGCUGGAUUCUAGCUAGUUUCGAAGGUUUUCCACUGUUGUUUAGAACUGGUUUCGAGGGAGGUUGGGGUGGUGUAGGGCUUUAGGUUGCUGGGUUUUGGGUGGGGAUCGUUGCUGAUGAUUUAGGGUGAAGAAGAAGAAGGAGCUCCGGCGAACUAGGUGGAUGGGCAAUGGUUCUGGUGAGAAAGGGUAUCGCCGGCGAUUUUGGAGAAGAUUUAGUGGCUAGAACGGGGUGUUGAAGUUUGGCAAAAUGCCAAAGUCCCACAUUGGUUGGGAGUUAAGUUUGGA